GAUGAAGAACGUAGCGAAAUGCGAUACGUAAUGUGAAUUGCAGAAUUCAGUGAAUCAUCGAAUCUUUGAACGCAUAUUGCGCUCUCUGGUAUUCCGGAGAGCAUGCUUGUUUGAGUAUCAGUAAACACCUCAACUUCCAUAUCUUUUUUGAAAUGGGAGUUGGACUUGAGUGAUCCCAACGCUUUUCCUCGCCGAAAAGUGGCGGGUUACUUGAAAUGCAGGUGCAGCUUGACUUUUCUCUGAGCUAUACGCAUAUCUAUUUAGUCUGCCUAAAAACAGAUUAUUACCUUUGCUGCAGCUAACAUAAAGGAGAUUAGUUCUUGUGCUGACUGAUGCAGGAUUCACAAAGACAGGCUUCGGCCGACUUUGUAAACUCGAUCUCAAAUCAAGUAAGACUACCCGCUGAACUUAAGCAUAUCAAUAAGCGGAGGA
RNAcentral lists this unclassified non-coding RNA (432 nucleotides) under soil metagenome. RNAcentral describes it as "partial contains 5.8S ribosomal RNA, internal transcribed spacer 2, and large subunit ribosomal RNA". The stretch from base 1 to 120 matches the Rfam family "5.8S ribosomal RNA", at positions 35 to 154 of the family's 154-position model. The record is from RNAcentral.